AUGGUAGCAUGCCUGUAGUCCCAGCUACUUGGGAGGCUGAGGUGGAUUGCUUGAGCCCAGGAGCUCUGGGCAGUACUGCAUUAUGCUGAUCAGGUGUCCACACUAAAUUCAGCAUCAAUAUGGCAACCUCCCAUGAACAAAGGACCAUCAGGUUGCCAAAGGAGGAGUGAACUGGCCCAGGUUAGAAAUGGAGCAGGUCAAAACUCCUGUGCUCAUCAGUAGUGGGAUCAUGCCUGUCCCAAUGUUUUGGGAGGCCAAGACGGGAAGAUCACUUGAUACCAGAGGUUCAAACCCAGUUUGAGCAACAUAGAGAGACCCCCAUCUCU
Unclassified non-coding RNA from Macaca mulatta (Rhesus monkey), 326 nucleotides. It matches the Rfam family "Metazoan signal recognition particle RNA". From Rfam's summary of the family: The signal recognition particle (SRP) is a universally conserved ribonucleoprotein. It is involved in the co-translational targeting of proteins to membranes. The eukaryotic SRP consists of a 300-nucleotide 7S RNA and six proteins: SRPs 72, 68, 54, 19, 14, and 9. NCBI's taxonomy places the organism in Eukaryota, Metazoa, Chordata, Mammalia, Primates, Cercopithecidae. The record is from Ensembl.